CUGGGAGUUGCCGCUCCCUGCGAGCAAUCAUCCUGCUGCUGCUCGCUACGAGCAAUCGCCCUGCCGCUGCUCCCUGUGAGCAAUCACCCUGCCGCUGCUCACUACGAGCAAUCGCCCUGCCGCCGCUCCCUGUGAGCAAUCGUCCUGCUGCUGCUCGCUACGAGCAAUCGCCCUGCCGCUGCUCCCUGUGAGCAAUCGCCCUGCCUCCGCCCUGCCUCUGCUCUCUGUGAGAGCAAUCACCCUGCCGCUGCUCACUACGAGCAAUCGCCCUGCCGCCGCUCCCUGCGAGCAAUUGUCCUGCUGCUGCUUGCUACGAGCAAUCGCCCUGCCGCUGCUCCCUGUGAGCAAUCGCCCUGCCUCCGCCCUGCCUCUGCUCUCUGUGAGAGCAAUCACUCUGCUGCUGCUCACUACAAGCAAUCACUCUGCCUCCACCCUGCCUCUGCUCCUUGCGAGCAAUCGCCCUGCCGUAGCACUUGUGUGCUUUGAUUAUCUCUACCAUGAAUGGCCAUACAUUGGGCCAGAAGUGAAUGAACAGUCUAUAUAGACUGAGUCUUCUCAAGAGUUGCUAUCUGGAUCCUGUGUCUAUCAUUACUGUGUAUAUAGAGAUUUCUCCAGCGUAGCACGUCCCCAUGCCCUUUGGAAGGCUUUUGAAGUGCAGGCAUUGCCUGUGUCUUCUCUGGGACGCUAAACCAAUACAUACAUACAUAC
Molecule: small RNA, 708 nt
Filed under: Histoplasma ohiense
Lineage: Eukaryota; Fungi; Ascomycota; Eurotiomycetes; Onygenales; Ajellomycetaceae
Description: hypothetical lncRNA
Source: RNAcentral